Molecule: ribosomal RNA, 415 nt
Filed under: uncultured bacterium
Lineage: Bacteria
Description: bacterial SSU rRNA
Rfam family: Bacterial small subunit ribosomal RNA
Source: RNAcentral
GUGUCAGCAGCCGCGGUAAUACAGAGGGCGCGAGCGUUGUCCGGAAUCACUGGGCGUAAAGGGCGCGUAGGUGGCCACGAUAAGGCCGCGGUGAAAGCUUGGGGCUCAACCCCAGGUCGGCCGCGGCGACUGUCGGGCUGGGGCACUGUAGAGGCAGAUGGAAUUCCGGGUGUAGCGGUGGAAUGCGUAGAGAUCCGGAAGAACACCAGUGGCGAAGGCGGUCUGCUGGGCAGUGGGAGCUUCGGCUCUCUUUAGCCGACACUGAGGCGCGACAGCGUGGGGAGCAAACAGGAUUAGAUACCCUGGUAGUCCACGCCGUAAACGAUGGGCACUAGGUGCUCCGGGGAGCGACCCUUGGAGUACCGGCGCUAACGCAUGAAGUGCCCCGCCUGGGGAGUACGGCCGCAAGGCUGAA